RNAcentral lists this ribosomal RNA (301 nucleotides) under uncultured bacterium. RNAcentral describes it as "partial 16S ribosomal RNA". It matches the Rfam family "Bacterial small subunit ribosomal RNA", at positions 509 to 807 of the family's 1533-position model. The record is from RNAcentral.
CAGUAGCCGCGGUAAUACGGAGGGUGCAAGCGUUAAUCGGAAUUACUGGGCGUAAAGCGCACGCAGGCGGUCUGACAAGUCAGAUGUGAAAUCCCCGGGCUUAACCUGGGAACUGCAUUUGAAACUGUCAGGCUGGAGUCUUGUAGAGGGGGGUAGAAUUCCAGGUGUAGCGGUGAAAUGCGUAGAGAUCUGGAGGAAUACCGGUGGCGAAGGCGGCCCCCUGGACAAAGACUGACGCUCAGGUGCGAAAGCGUGGGAAGCAAACAGGAUUAGAUACCCCUGUAGUCCCUGUCUCUUAUAC